Molecule: transfer RNA, 76 nt
Filed under: Silvimonas iriomotensis
Lineage: Bacteria; Pseudomonadati; Pseudomonadota; Betaproteobacteria; Neisseriales; Chitinibacteraceae
Description: tRNA-Gly
Source: RNAcentral
AUGGGGUCUGGCACGAUAUUGAGGCGCCCUGCUGCCACCCCGGCCGAUGAUUGGGGUGCGACACCCCAAUCUUGCU